RNAcentral lists this transfer RNA (83 nucleotides) under Schistocephalus solidus. It matches the Rfam family "tRNA". Rfam says of the family: Transfer RNA (tRNA) molecules are approximately 80 nucleotides in length. Their secondary structure includes four short double-helical elements and three loops (D, anti-codon, and T loops). Lineage: Eukaryota; Metazoa; Platyhelminthes; Cestoda; Diphyllobothriidea; Diphyllobothriidae. The record is from Rfam by way of RNAcentral.
GGCCUCGUAGCUCAGUCGGCUAGAGCGUUGGCUGUCCUGAAACUUUCCACUUGCUGGCAUGGGUUUGAGUCCCACCGAGGCCA